UUUGUAAGGUUUUAAAUCGAGGCCAGUUGAAAUCAAUCGAAACCUAAGAAAACAAAUCGUCAGGCAUCAUUGCCUAAUUACUUGUUUUCAAAUGUUUAAAGAUACUAACAGGCUUUGUUUGGAUCGAGUCAGCACAGUUUUAAAAUAAUUCCCAUCAUGUAUGGUCAAUCGGCAUACAGGAGAAUUUGGCUAUUAAACAAGAUCAUUCUUAUCCUUAUCUCGAUUAGCAUUGGUAUUCGCUUGUUGUGCCCGCAUAUGCUUUAAAUUAUUGAAACUCUUGGUUAGCUCAUCGUCGCACACGGAGGACAUUGUAUUGAGGAGGAGCUCUUGGGGAUUCAUCUUGGAGAAGUCCUGAAAUUGUUUAAAAGAAGUUAGCAAUUUGAGGAUACGGCAGCCAGGAAGUUCUUCCUGGAGGUCUCCUUGUUGUUCACGGCGAAGGCGGAUGUUCCGUUCGCGUUGAUGAUGCGCCGGAAGGUCUCCGUGGUGUUGGCUUCCCGCCCGUAAACCGCGACAACUA
Drosophila gunungcola (fruit fly) is the source of this 517-nucleotide long non-coding RNA. RefSeq lists it as uncharacterized. Lineage: Eukaryota; Metazoa; Arthropoda; Insecta; Diptera; Drosophilidae. The record is from RefSeq and is a predicted model, not a curated record. The transcript has 3 exons.